UACAUGAUGUCACUUGAAUCUACACACAGA
RNAcentral lists this non-coding RNA (30 nucleotides) under Rattus norvegicus (Norway rat). The record is from RNAcentral. Lineage: Eukaryota; Metazoa; Chordata; Mammalia; Rodentia; Muridae.